RNAcentral lists this ribosomal RNA (666 nucleotides) under Actinobacteridae bacterium 16-03PB. Its description in RNAcentral is "bacterial SSU rRNA". It matches the Rfam family "Bacterial small subunit ribosomal RNA", at positions 123 to 802 of the family's 1533-position model. The record is from RNAcentral. Lineage: Bacteria; Bacillati; Actinomycetota; Actinomycetes.
AACCUGCCCUUAACUUCGGGAUAAGCCUGGGAAACUGGGUCUAAUACCGGAUAUUCACUUUUCACCGCAUGGUGGGGGGUGGAAAGAUUUUUUGGUUUUGGAUGGACUCGCGGCCUAUCAGCUUGUUGGUGAGGUAAUGGCUUACCAAGGCGACGACGGGUAGCCGGCCUGAGAGGGUGACCGGCCACACUGGGACUGAGACACGGCCCAGACUCCUACGGGAGGCAGCAGUGGGGAAUAUUGCACAAUGGGCGCAAGCCUGAUGCAGCGACGCCGCGUGAGGGAUGAAGGCCUUCGGGUUGUAAACCUCUUUCAGUAGGGAAGAAGCGUAAGUGACGGUACCUGCAGAAGAAGCACCGGCUAACUACGUGCCAGCAGCCGCGGUAAUACGUAGGGUGCAAGCGUUAUCCGGAAUUAUUGGGCGUAAAGAGCUCGUAGGCGGUUUGUCGCGUCUGCCGUGAAAGUCCGGGGCUCAACUCCGGAUCUGCGGUGGGUACGGGCAGACUAGAGUGCAGUAGGGGAGACUGGAAUUCCUGGUGUAGCGGUGAAAUGCGCAGAUAUCAGGAGGAACACCGAUGGCGAAGGCAGGUCUCUGGGCUGUAACUGACGCUGAGGAGCGAAAGCAUGGGGAGCGAACAGGAUUAGAUACCCUGGUAGUCCAUGCCG